Plodia interpunctella (Indianmeal moth) is the source of this 1519-nucleotide long non-coding RNA. RefSeq lists it as uncharacterized. The record is from RefSeq and is a predicted model, not a curated record. NCBI's taxonomy places the organism in Eukaryota, Metazoa, Arthropoda, Insecta, Lepidoptera, Pyralidae. The transcript is spliced from 3 exons.
UUCUUCAAUUCAAUUGUAACAACAAAUACUUAUAAAACGAACUAUAUUGAAAUGUUUGUUGUUCAAGGCAACUCUAGGUUAUUGAGCUUAAAACAAACAAACAAAUCAGAUCAGUAUAUAUUAAUGCAGAUAUUGAGUUAAAAUUCACAGAAUGUGAACUGAAGAGUUGGUGAGUAGAUCAGUAUGUUGUUGGUCCUGUAUGUGUUCAUUACUACGGUAUGCAUUGGCACACUUGCAAACCAAAACGCGGUGAUUACGCAUUAUAAAAAUAUUAAUGACGGUAAUGGAAAUUAUGUUUUCAGAGUCGAACAAUCAGACGGCAUAAACCGAUGGCAAGAGGGUCACGUAAAGAAGAGUGCAAAUGGAAACACAUACAUUUUCACUACAGGAGGUUACACCUACUUUGAUGACAAGAAUAAAAUCCAUAUAGUCUUAUACGUGGCAGAUGAGAAUGGAUUUCGAAUCGUACAAACGUUAGGUACAGCUUUUGGCCUGCCACCACGGUUUGUGCAAGGAGCAGGAGGUUAAAAUAAUUCCACAUCAUGUCACAGUAUAAUAAAAGAGAUCUAAAUUAAGGACACUCUCCGCCCUUACAUAAUAAAAAGUGUAACAUUAAGGACACUCUCCGCCCCUCACCCGAAACGAUUCCUUUCGCUUCUUCUACCUUCCUGCUCAUACUCAGCCGGAUUUAAGUUGAAAGCUGCAUCAUGCAGCUUGCACGUUUAAUUCACGCGCACUAGCGCAUUGCGUUUCACGUACAGUCGACAGCACAUCAAGCUACUCAAAUUCAUUGCACAUUCCCCUGUAUUACCGCUGAAUAGAGUUCUGUGCAGGGUAACUAGACAUGCUGGCGACUGUACACGAACUUUGUACGAAUAUCGAACGAGUCGCUACAUAUAAAAAAACCGUGUCCUGUCUGUGAUUCGCGGCUCCGCUCACUCAGACCCAAGGCCUGAUUUCAACGAUUAUUAAAAUUACAUUACUUACUUAUAAAGUGUUUUUUUUUAAUACCGCGGUUAUUACAAGUCAAAAUUGUUUAACAGAUUCAAUAGGCGGACUAAGAAUAACAUGAACUAGAAAUAUUUUAUUAAUAAGUAGAACUAUUGCGCAUCGUUGAAAAGAAGAAACAAAUGAGAAAUAAACAAGUUUUUACUUAUUAUUGUGUUAUAUAGACAGGUUUCAAUAAAAAAAAACACAGACUCUUACAUAAAAUUGAAAAUGGAACCAAUAGACUGAUCUAAUAAUACUUACCUUUAUUAUGAUUAAUUUAAUAUUUUGUGUAAAUUAAAGUUAAUUGUUUCGUACAAAUUCCACAGUUAAAAUAAUUAUAGAAUAAGAUAAAUUAGAAUAUUGAAUAACUAAUUUUGGCUUCUAUCCACCUUAUACAUACCCCUUAUUACAUAUUUCUUGAUAUCUCCUAUGCACAGACAUAACAGUUUUAUUAUAUGUAUAGAUAUGAUGAUAAAUUAUCGUAAUUAGUCACAGUUCCUCAUGUAAAUCUGGAAGUAAAUACAUGUGC